GAUGAACGCUAGCGGCAGGCUUAAUACAUGCAAGUCGAACGGUAACAGGUGUAGCAAUACAUGCUGACGAGUGGCAGACGGGUGAGGAACACGUACACAACCUCCCUCUUACUGGGGCACAACUCCGAGAAAUCGGGGCUAAUUCCCCAUAAUAUUUCGAAAGGGCAUCCGAUUGAAAUUAAAACUCCGGUGGUAAGAGAUGGGUGUGCGUCUGAUUAGCUAGUUGGUAGGGUAACGGCCUACCAAGGCAACGAUCAGUAACUGGUGUGAGAGCACGACCAGUCACACGGGCACUGAGAUACGGGCCCGACUCCUACGGGAGGCAGCAGUAAGGAAUAUUGGUCAAUGGACGCAAGUCUGAACCAGCCAUGCCGCGUGCAGGAUGAAGGCCCUCUGGGUUGUAAACUGCUUUUAUCUGGGAAGAAAUCCCCGAUUUCUAUCGGGGUUGACGGUACCAGAGGAAUAAGCACCGGCUAACUCCGUGCCAGCAGCCGCGGUAAUACGGAGGGUGCAAGCGUUAUCCGGAUUUACUGGGUUUAAAGGGUGCGUAGGCGGGCCUUUAAGUCAGUGGUGAAAUCUCCCGGCUUAACCGGGAAACUNNNAUUGAUACU
RNAcentral lists this ribosomal RNA (611 nucleotides) under uncultured Bacteroidota bacterium. RNAcentral describes it as "bacterial SSU rRNA". It matches the Rfam family "Bacterial small subunit ribosomal RNA", at positions 28 to 634 of the family's 1533-position model. Lineage: Bacteria; Pseudomonadati; Bacteroidota. The record is from RNAcentral.